Molecule: microRNA precursor, 92 nt
Filed under: Acidovorax sp. 69
Lineage: Bacteria; Pseudomonadati; Pseudomonadota; Betaproteobacteria; Burkholderiales; Comamonadaceae
Description: microRNA mir-598
Source: RNAcentral
CCAAGACGAUGCCGAUGAGGUGAUGAACGAAAUCAACAUGACGCCGCUGGUGGACGUCAUGCUGGUUCUGCUCAUCAUCUUCAUCAUCACCG